This 781-nucleotide ribosomal RNA is filed under the name uncultured bacterium. Its description in RNAcentral is "bacterial SSU rRNA". It matches the Rfam family "Bacterial small subunit ribosomal RNA", at positions 67 to 843 of the family's 1533-position model. The record is from RNAcentral.
CAGCACAGGGAGCUUGCUCCCGGGUGGCGAGUGGCGCACGGGUGAGUAAUACAUCGGAACGUGUCCUGUUGUGGGGGAUAACUGCUCGAAAGGGUGGCUAAUACCGCAUGAGACCUGAGGGUGAAAGCGGGGGAUCGCAAGACCUCGCGCAAUUGGAGCGGCCGAUGCCCGAUUAGCUAGUUGGUGAGGUAAAGGCUCACCAAGGCGACGAUCGGUAGCUGGUCUGAGAGGACGACCAGCCACACUGGGACUGAGACACGGCCCAGACUCCUACGGGAGGCAGCAGUGGGGAAUUUUGGACAAUGGGGGCAACCCUGAUCCAGCCAUGCCGCGUGCAGGAUGAAGGCCUUCGGGUUGUAAACUGCUUUUGUCAGGGACGAAAAGGAUCGUGUUAAUACCAUGGUCUGCUGACGGUACCUGAAGAAUAAGCACCGGCUAACUACGUGCCAGCAGCCGCGGUAAUACGUAGGGUGCAAGCGUUAAUCGGAAUUACUGGGCGUAAAGCGUGCGCAGGCGGUUCUGUAAGACAGAUGUGAAAUCCCCGGGCUCAACCUGGGAAUUGCAUUUGUGACUGCAGGACUAGAGUUCAUCAGAGGGGGGUGGAAUUCCAAGUGUAGCAGUGAAAUGCGUGGAUAUUUGGAAGAACACCAAUGGCGAAGGCAGCCCCCUGGGAUGCGACUGACGCUCAUGCACGAAAGCGUGAGGAGCAAACAGGAUUAGAUACCCUGGUAGUCCACGCCCUAGACGAUGUCUACUGGUUGUUGGGGUUUAUUAACCUUGG